Long non-coding RNA from Rhododendron vialii, 922 nucleotides. RefSeq lists it as uncharacterized. Lineage: Eukaryota; Viridiplantae; Streptophyta; Magnoliopsida; Ericales; Ericaceae. The transcript has 2 exons. The record is from RefSeq and is a predicted model, not a curated record.
CUCUCUCUCUCUCUAAAGCAGCGUAGAAGCUAAAGCAGCGUAGAAGCUAAGCAACUUUCUCGGUGGGGGGAGGCUGUCGCCUCCUCCCCGCCACCCCCACCCCCAUCCCACAGCGAGUCAAUCCACUGUUUCCUUUCCAAGAAUAAGCCUCUUUUUAGUUCACUCCAUUGUUUGUUCCGCCGAUCGGAGAUCCGGAGUCCUGUCCGCUGCCUCUCCUCGGUUUGUUCCUCCUGCAGCUCCGGUGGUUUGUCCCUCCGUUAACCAGCGUCCUCCGACAACUGAGCCCCCUCCAGCGUCCUCGGAUCCGGCCAUGCAUGCUUUCCUUGCUUGCCCGACUUCCCCCUUCGUGUCUCCCCUCCCCGUCGGGCGGCAAGGCCUUGAUCCAGCCGAUCGGCUCCCUCCUCUAUUCGCCCCUUUCCCAGUCCGAUUGGAUGGAAUCUUUCGAUUGAUUCUGACUCCCCUUGUUCCCGUCCCCGUCGGAACCAAUCGGAAAUUUUCCAUGCAUGGCUUCUUCCUUGAAGGUUGUUGGCCGAGGUAGGUCCUGGCUCAUUGACUAACUGAUCUGCGUCGGCCGCCGUUAAAAAUGGGCGCGAUCCGGCCAGCAGUUUGGUCCUCUGUUCUGGGUUUGCUCGAUGCAUCACCUACCAUAAAGGAGAUCGGCUGUUGGGACUGCACGGUAUGUGCUUGUGGUAAAGUCUUUUUGCAGGUUUGCUUGGAGGCAGGUUGUGGCGGAGAUUUCACGGUGUUUCCGAGUUUCUAUGGUGGCAGCCUCCUUACGGAUGUGUUUCUAAGUAGAUGCAUUAGCUUAAAUUGUUGCUUUUUAGUUUUAUUUACUUUUGUUAUGUUCUGGAAUUGUUGCUCACACAAUUUCCACACUUCCCAUACUAUGCUCAGUUCUUUAGGCCUCUUAUUGGCCUACGCU